UACGUAGGGGGCGAGCGUUGUCCGGAUUCAUUGGGCGUAAAGAGCUCGUAGGCGGCUUGGCAAGUCGGGUGUGAAAACUUCAGGCUCAACCUGGAGCGGCCACUCGAUACUGCCAUGGCUUGAGUCCGGUAGGGGACCACGGAAUUCCUGGUGUAGCGGUGAAAUGCGCAGAUAUCAGGAAGAACACCAAUGGCGAAAGCAGCUUUCUGGGACGGUACUGACGCUGAGACGCGAAAGCGUGGGGAGCGAACAGG
This 254-nucleotide ribosomal RNA is filed under the name uncultured bacterium. Its description in RNAcentral is "partial 16S ribosomal RNA". It matches the Rfam family "Bacterial small subunit ribosomal RNA", at positions 524 to 776 of the family's 1533-position model. The record is from RNAcentral.